UACGGAGGGUGCGAGCGUUAUCCGGAAUUACUGGGUUUAAAGGGUGCGUAGGCGGCUAUGUAAGUCAGGAGUGAAAGUUUGCGGCUCAACCGUAAAAUUGCUUUUGAUACUGCAUGGCUGGAAUUAGGAUGAGGUCAGCGGAAUGUGGCAUGUAGCGGUGAAAUGCAUAGAUAUGCCAUAGAACACCAAUUGCGAAGGCAGCUUACUACGCAGAUAUUGACGCUCAUGCACGAAAGCGUGGGGAUCAAACAGG
RNAcentral lists this ribosomal RNA (253 nucleotides) under uncultured bacterium. RNAcentral's name for it is "partial 16S ribosomal RNA". It matches the Rfam family "Bacterial small subunit ribosomal RNA", at positions 524 to 776 of the family's 1533-position model. The record is from RNAcentral.